RNAcentral lists this ribosomal RNA (444 nucleotides) under uncultured bacterium. Its description in RNAcentral is "partial 16S ribosomal RNA". It matches the Rfam family "Bacterial small subunit ribosomal RNA", at positions 339 to 795 of the family's 1533-position model. The record is from RNAcentral.
CUACGGGGGGCACCAGUGGGGAAUAUUGCACAAUGGGCGCAAGCCUGAUGCAGCAACGCCGCGUGAGGGAUGAAGGCCUUCGGGUUGUAAACCUCUUUUAGCAGGGAAGAAGCGAAAGUGACGGUACCUGCAGAAAAAGCACCGGCUAACUACGUGCCAGCAGCCGCGGUAAUACGUAGGGUGCGAGCGUUGUCCGGAAUUAUUGGGCGUAAAGAGCUCGUAGGCGGUUUGUCACGUCUGCUGUGAAAAUCCAAGGCUCAACCUUGGACUUGCAGUGGGUACGGGCAGGCUAGAGUGCGGUAGGGGAGAUGGGAAUUCCUGGUGUAGCGGUGGAAUGCGCAGAUAUCAGGAGGAACACCAAUGGCGAAGGCACAUCUCUGGGCCGCAACUGACGCUGAGGAGCGAAAGCGUGGGGAGCGAACAGGAUUAGAUACCCGUGUAGUC